Molecule: ribosomal RNA, 2291 nt
Filed under: Salmonella enterica
Lineage: Bacteria; Pseudomonadati; Pseudomonadota; Gammaproteobacteria; Enterobacterales; Enterobacteriaceae
Description: partial 23S ribosomal RNA
Rfam family: Bacterial large subunit ribosomal RNA
Source: RNAcentral
AUAAUGGGUCAGCGACUUAUAUUCUGUAGCAAGGUUAACCGUAUAGGGGAGCCGGAGGGAAACCGAGUCUUAACCGGGCGUUAAGUUGCAGGGUAUAGACCCGAAACCCGGUGAUCUAGCCAUGGGCAGGUUGAAGGUUGGGUAACACUAACUGGAGGACCGAACCGACUAAUGUUGAAAAAUUAGCGGAUGACCUGUGGCUGGGGGUGAAAGGCCAAUCAAACCGGGAGAUAGCUGGUUCUCCCCGAAAGCUAUUUAGGUAGCGCCUCGUGAAUUCAUCUCCGGGGGUAGAGCACUGUUUCGGCUAGGGGGCCAUCCCGGCUUACCAACCCGAUGCAAACUGCGAAUACCGGAGAAUGUUAUCACGGGAGACACACGGCGGGUGCUAACGUCCGUCGUGAAGAGGGAAACAACCCAGACCGCCAGCUAAGGUCCCAAAGUCAUGGUUAAGUGGGAAACGAUGUGGGAAGGCCCAGACAGCCAGGAUGUUGGCUUAGAAGCAGCCAUCAUUUAAAGAAAGCGUAAUAGCUCACUGGUCGAGUCGGCCUGCGCGGAAGAUGUAACGGGGCUAAACCAUGCACCGAAGCUGCGGCAGCGAACGUAUCACCCAAGACAACUUUACGGAGUUGACGAUUGACGGAGCGAAGCGACGUCAAAGCGUUCAUUAAAGUCGAGUUGGCUUAGGGAUACGUUCGUUGGGUAGGGGAGCGUUCUGUAAGCCUGUGAAGGUGUGUCGUGAGGCAUGCUGGAGGUAUCAGAAGUGCGAAUGCUGACAUAAGUAACGAUAAAGCGGGUGAAAAGCCCGCUCGCCGGAAGACCAAGGGUUCCUGUCCAACGUUAAUCGGGGCAGGGUGAGUCGACCCCUAAGGCGAGGCCGAAAGGCGUAGUCGAUGGGAAACGGGUUAAUAUUCCCGUACUUGGUGUUACUGCGAAGGGGGGACGGAGAAGGCUAUGUUGGCCGGGCGACGGUUGUCCCGGUUUAAGCGUGUAGGUGUGUGUUCCAGGUAAAUCCGGUUCACUUUAACACUGAGGCGUGACGACGAGGCACUACGGUGCUGAAGCAACAAAUGCCCUGCUUCCAGGAAAAGCCUCUAAGCAUCAGGUAACAUCAAAUCGUACCCCAAACCGACACAGGUGGUCAGGUAGAGAAUACCAAGGCGCUUGAGAGAACUCGGGUGAAGGAACUAGGCAAAAUGGUGCCGUAACUUCGGGAGAAGGCACGCUGACACGUAGGUGAAGUGAUUUACUCAUGGAGCUGAAGUCAGUCGAAGAUACCAGCUGGCUGCAACUGUUUAUUAAAAACACAGCACUGUGCAAACACGAAAGUGGACGUAUACGGUGUGACGCCUGCCCGGUGCCGGAAGGUUAAUUGAUGGGGUCAGCGCAAGCGAAGCUCCUGAUCGAAGCCCCGGUAAACGGCGGCCGUAACUAUAACGGUCCUAAGGUAGCGAAAUUCCUUGUCGGGUAAGUUCCGACCUGCACGAAUGGCGUAAUGAUGGCCAGGCUGUCUCCACCCGAGACUCAGUGAAAUUGAACUCGCUGUGAAGAUGCAGUGUACCCGCGGCAAGACGGAAAGACCCCGUGAACCUUUACUAUAGCUUGACACUGAACAUUGAGCCUUGAUGUGUAGGAUAGGUGGGAGGCUUUGAAGUGUGGACGCCAGUCUGCAUGGAGCCGACCUUGAAAUACCACCCUUUAAUGUUUGAUGUUCUAACGUGGACCCGUAAUCCGGGUUGCGGACAGUGUCUGGUGGGUAGUUUGACUGGGGCGGUCUCCUCCUAAAGAGUAACGGAGGAGCACGAAGGUUGGCUAAUCCUGGUCGGACAUCAGGAGGUUAGUGCAAUGGCAUAAGCCAGCUUGACUGCGAGCGUGACGGCGCGAGCAGGUGCGAAAGCAGGUCAUAGUGAUCCGGUGGUUCUGAAUGGAAGGGCCAUCGCUCAACGGAUAAAAGGUACUCCGGGGAUAACAGGCUGAUACCGCCCAAGAGUUCAUAUCGACGGCGGUGUUUGGCACCUCGAUGUCGGCUCAUCACAUCCUGGGGCUGAAGUAGGUCCCAAGGGUAUGGCUGUUCGCCAUUUAAAGUGGUACGCGAGCUGGGUUUAGAACGUCGUGAGACAGUUCGGUCCCUAUCUGCCGUGGGCGCUGGAGAACUGAGGGGGGCUGCUCCUAGUACGAGAGGACCGGAGUGGACGCAUCACUGGUGUUCGGGUUGUCAUGCCAAUGGCACUGCCCGGUAGCUAAAUGCGGAAGAGAUAAGUGCUGAAAGCAUCUAAGCACGAAACUUGCCCCGA